CCCUUAGAUGUUCUGGGCCGCACGCGUGCUACACUGAGUGGAUCAGCGGGUCAGGUUGCGCGAAAGCGUUUCCUAAUCUUUAAAUCCGCUCGUGAUGGGGAUUGACGGUUGCAAUUUUCUGUCAUGAACGAGGAAUACCUUGUAAGCGCGGGUCAUCAUCCCGCGCUGAAUACGUCCCUGCCCUUUGUACACACCGCCCGUCGCUCCUACCGAUUGAGUGGUCCGGUGAGGCUUUGGGAUCUGAGCGGAAAGAGCGUUUCGCUGUUUCUGCUCGGAAAGCUCAGUCGAACCUUAUCAUUUAGAGGAAGGAGGAGUCGUAACA
This 322-nucleotide ribosomal RNA is filed under the name uncultured eukaryote. Its description in RNAcentral is "partial 18S ribosomal RNA". It matches the Rfam family "Eukaryotic small subunit ribosomal RNA", at positions 1470 to 1796 of the family's 1831-position model. The record is from RNAcentral.